Molecule: long non-coding RNA, 459 nt
Filed under: Sus scrofa (pig)
Lineage: Eukaryota; Metazoa; Chordata; Mammalia; Artiodactyla; Suidae
Description: lncRNA (ENSSSCG00070002076.1)
Source: RNAcentral
GGGGGGGGGUACUUUUUAUUUGUUUGAUUUCUGAUUACAUUCAUCUUACGUAUUUACUCUGAAGUGGAAGUUUUAACUUUAUUUUAAUUUUCUGUAUUGGUUUUCCUUGAUACUUUCAUGAGUUUUCCAUUAUAUUUUCCAGAUCAAGUCCAGAAAGAAAUGGCUAGGAUGAUGGCUCUGUUCAAGGAUGAUUGGAGGAGAGAACAGUUCCAGAAUGAUGAUCUUCAAAAGAAAGUCGAUCAAGUCCAGAAAGAAAUGGCUAGGAUGAUGGCUCAGUUCAAGGAUGGUGAGUAAUGCUUAUCUCUCAGAAGUUGUCAUUCUUUUCUCUCUCUGAGAUUCUGCCCCCCACAAGCAAAGGGAUGCAGAAAUAUAGCAAAUAUGUUUAUAGUAGGCAAAGCAGCAUUGGAACCAUUGCCUCUGUAGAGUCCAGCACUUGGAAUAAAUUCCCUCUGAAGUGCA